RNAcentral lists this ribosomal RNA (319 nucleotides) under uncultured eukaryote. RNAcentral's name for it is "partial 18S ribosomal RNA". It matches the Rfam family "Eukaryotic small subunit ribosomal RNA", at positions 1470 to 1796 of the family's 1831-position model. The record is from RNAcentral.
CCCUUAGAUGUUCUGGGCAGCACGCGCGCUACAAUGGUCUUCGCAAACGGAUGCAUUCUCGAAGGAGAAUGCCAAUCUUGGAAUCUAUGCCUUGGUCGGGACAGUUGCUUGCAAUUUUUCGACUCGAACCAGGAAUUCCUUGUAAUCGUGAUUCAUCACAUCACGAUGAAUACGUCCCUGCCCUUUGUUCACACCGCCCGUCGCUCCUACCGAUCGAAGAGUUAGGUGAAUUGUUUUGAUCGAUAAGAUUUGACUAUGGUCAACUCUCGUUGUGAAAUUCUGUGAAUCUGACUGUUUAGAGGAAGGAAAAGUCGUAACA